GGGGGAUUAGCUCAAAAUGGUAGAGCGUCGCUUUGGCAAUGUGAGAAGUAGUGGGAUCGAUGGCCCACAUUCUCCA
This 76-nucleotide transfer RNA is filed under the name Pleuronectes platessa (European plaice). It matches the Rfam family "tRNA". From Rfam's summary of the family: Transfer RNA (tRNA) molecules are approximately 80 nucleotides in length. Lineage: Eukaryota; Metazoa; Chordata; Actinopteri; Pleuronectiformes; Pleuronectidae. The record is from Rfam by way of RNAcentral.